Molecule: transfer RNA, 52 nt
Filed under: Gammarus roeselii
Lineage: Eukaryota; Metazoa; Arthropoda; Malacostraca; Amphipoda; Gammaridae
Description: tRNA-Ser
Source: RNAcentral
UAAGUGUAAAAAAGACUUCUAAUCUUUAUAAAGUCUACAAGACUACACUUAA